AACUUAAGCAUAUCAAUAAGCGGAGGAAAAGAAACCAACAGGGAUUGCCUCAGUAACGGCGAGUGAAGCGGCAACAGCUCAAAUUUGAAAUCUGGCUCUUUCAGGGUCCGAGUUGUAAUUUGUAGAGGAUGCUUCGGGUACGGCUCCGGUCUAAGUUCCUUGGAACAGGACGUCACAGAGGGUGAGAAUCCCGUACGUGACCGGCCGCCACGCCCAUGUGAAGCUCCUUCGACGAGUCGAGUUGUUUGGGAAUGCAGCUCAAAAUGGGUGGUAAAUUUCAUCUAAAGCUAAAUAUUGGCCAGAGACCGAUAGCGCACAAGUAGAGUGAUCGAAAGAUGAAAAGCACUUUGGAAAGAGAGUUAAACAGUACGUGAAAUUGUUGAAAGGGAAGCGCUUGCAACCAGACUUGCCCGCGGGUGAUCAGCCGGUAUUUUUACCGGUGCACUCGCCCGUGGUCAGGCCAGCAUCGGUUUGGGCGGUUGGAUAAAGUCCCCCUGAAUGUAGCUCCUCUCGGGGAGUGUUAUAGCUGGGGGUGCAAUGCAACCCGCCCGGACCGAGGACCGCGCUUCGGCUAGGAUGCUGGCGUAAUGGUUGUAAGCGGCCCGUCUUGAAACACAGACC
Molecule: ribosomal RNA, 621 nt
Filed under: Acarospora fulva
Lineage: Eukaryota; Fungi; Ascomycota; Lecanoromycetes; Acarosporales; Acarosporaceae
Description: partial large subunit ribosomal RNA
Rfam family: Eukaryotic large subunit ribosomal RNA
Source: RNAcentral